RNAcentral lists this ribosomal RNA (459 nucleotides) under uncultured bacterium. RNAcentral describes it as "partial 16S ribosomal RNA". It matches the Rfam family "Bacterial small subunit ribosomal RNA", at positions 338 to 795 of the family's 1533-position model. The record is from RNAcentral.
CCUACGGGUGGCAGCAGUGAGGAAUAUUGGUCAAUGGCCGGAAGGCUGAACCAGCCAAGCCGCGUGAAGGACGAAGGUGCCAAGCAUUGUAAACUUCUUUUGUCAAGGGACAAAAUCAGGCUCGAGAGCCUGACCGAGGGUACUUGAAGAAAAAGCAUCGGCUAACUCCGUGCCAGCAGCCGCGGUAAUACGGAGGAUGCGAGCGUUAUCCGGAUUUAUGGGGUUUAAAGGGUGGGAAGGCGGGCUGUUAAGUCAGCGGUAAAAGCCCGGGGUUAAACCGCGGCCAGCCGUUGAAACUGGCUGUCUUGAGAUGUCGAGAGGUAUGCGGAAUGCGCAGUGUAGCGAUGAAAUGCUUAGAUAUUGCGCAGAAUUCCGAUUGCGAAGGCAGUAUACCGGCGGCGAUCUGACGCUGAGGCACGAAAGCGUGGGUAUCGAACAGGAUUAGAUACCCGGGUAGUC